GAUGAACGCUGGCGGCGUGCCUAAUACAUGCAAGUCGAGCGAACAGACGAGGAGCUUGCUCCUCUGACGUUAGCGGCGGACGGGUGAGUAACACGUGGAUAACCUACCUAUAAGACUGGGAUAACUUCGGGAAACCGGAGCUAAUACCGGAUAAUAUAUUGAACCGCAUGGUUCAAUAGUGAAAUACGGUUUUGCUGUCACUUAUAGAUGGAUCCGCGCCGCAUUAGCUAGUUGGUAAGGUAACGGCUUACCAAGGCAACGAUGCGUAGCCGACCUGAGAGGGUGAUCGGCCACACUGGAACGGAGACACGGUCCAGACUCCUACGGGAGGCAGCAGUAGGGAAUCUUCCGCAAUGGGCGAAAGCCUGACGGAGCAACGCCGCGUGAGUGAUGAAGGUCUUCGGAUCGUAAAACUCUGUUAUUAGGGAAGAACAAAUGUGUAAGUAACUAUGCACGUCUUGACGGUACCUAAUCAGAAAGCAACGGCUAACUACGUG
RNAcentral lists this ribosomal RNA (497 nucleotides) under uncultured bacterium. RNAcentral describes it as "partial 16S ribosomal RNA". It matches the Rfam family "Bacterial small subunit ribosomal RNA", at positions 28 to 507 of the family's 1533-position model. The record is from RNAcentral.